ACUCCUACGGGAGGCAGCAGUGGGGAAUAUUGCACAAUGGGGGAAACCCUGAUGCAGCCAUGCCGCGUGUGUGAAGAAGGCCUUCGGGUUGUAAAGCACUUUCAGUAGGGGAAGGAUGUNGUGUAGUUAACACCUGCACUAUUUUGACGUUACCUACAGAAGAAGCACCGGCUAACUCCGUGCCAGCAGCCGCGGUAAUACGGAGGGUGCGAGCGUUAAUCGGAAUUACUGGGCGUAAAGCGCAUGCAGGCGGCCUGUUAAGUCAGAUGUGAAAGCCCGGGGCUUAACCUCGGAAUUGCAUUUGAAACUGGCAGGCUAGAGUCUUGUAGAGGGGGGUAGAAUUUCAGGUGUAGCGGUGAAAUGCGUAGAGAUCUGAAGGAAUACCAGUGGCGAAGGCGGCCCCCUGGACAAAGACUGACGCUCAGAUGCGAAAGCGUGGGGAGCAAACAGGAUUAGAUACCCUGGUAGGAUAG
This 473-nucleotide ribosomal RNA is filed under the name uncultured bacterium. RNAcentral's name for it is "bacterial SSU rRNA". It matches the Rfam family "Bacterial small subunit ribosomal RNA", at positions 335 to 798 of the family's 1533-position model. The record is from RNAcentral.